RNAcentral lists this unclassified non-coding RNA (530 nucleotides) under Lodderomyces parapsilosis. RNAcentral's name for it is "Candida parapsilosis sequence contains 18S rRNA gene, ITS1, 5.8S rRNA gene, ITS2, 28S rRNA gene". The stretch from base 196 to 349 matches the Rfam family "5.8S ribosomal RNA". The record is from RNAcentral. Lineage: Eukaryota; Fungi; Ascomycota; Pichiomycetes; Serinales; Debaryomycetaceae.
AGUCGUAACAAGGUUUCCGUAGGUGAACCUGCGGAAGGAUCAUUACAGAAUGAAAAGUGCUUAACUGCAUUUUUUCUUACACAUGUGUUUUUCUUUUUUUGAAAACUUUGCUUUGGUAGGCCUUCUAUAUGGGGCCUGCCAGAGAUUAAACUCAACCAAAUUUUAUUUAAUGUCAACCGAUUAUUUAAUAGUCAAAACUUUCAACAACGGAUCUCUUGGUUCUCGCAUCGAUGAAGAACGCAGCGAAAUGCGAUAAGUAAUAUGAAUUGCAGAUAUUCGUGAAUCAUCGAAUCUUUGAACGCACAUUGCGCCCUUUGGUAUUCCAAAGGGCAUGCCUGUUUGAGCGUCAUUUCUCCCUCAAACCCUCGGGUUUGGUGUUGAGCGAUACGCUGGGUUUGCUUGAAAGAAAGGCGGAGUAUAAACUAAUGGAUAGGUUUUUUCCACUCAUUGGUACAAACUCCAAAACUUCUUCCAAAUUCGACCUCAAAUCAGGUAGGACUACCCGCUGAACUUAAGCAUAUCAAUAAGCG